UACGGAGGGUGCAAGCGUUGCUCGGAAUUACUGGGCGUAAAGCGCGUGUAGGCGGUUUCGUGUGUCUGAUGUGAAAUCCCCGGGCUCAACCCGGGAAGUGCAUUGGAAACUGCGAGACUAGAGUCCCGGAGAGGAAGGUGGAAUUCCCAGUGUAGCGGUGAAAUGCGUAGAUAUUGGGAGGAACACCAGUGGCGAAGGCGGCUCACUGGACCGGUACUGACGCUGAUGCGCGAAAGCGUGGGGAGCAAACGGG
RNAcentral lists this ribosomal RNA (253 nucleotides) under uncultured bacterium. Its description in RNAcentral is "partial 16S ribosomal RNA". It matches the Rfam family "Bacterial small subunit ribosomal RNA", at positions 524 to 776 of the family's 1533-position model. The record is from RNAcentral.